RNAcentral lists this ribosomal RNA (2923 nucleotides) under Staphylococcus aureus. RNAcentral's name for it is "23S ribosomal RNA". It matches the Rfam family "Bacterial large subunit ribosomal RNA". The record is from RNAcentral. Lineage: Bacteria; Bacillati; Bacillota; Bacilli; Caryophanales; Staphylococcaceae.
GAUUAAGUUAUUAAGGGCGCACGGUGGAUGCCUUGGCACUAGAAGCCGAUGAAGGACGUUACUAACGACGAUAUGCUUUGGGGAGCUGUAAGUAAGCUUUGAUCCAGAGAUUUCCGAAUGGGGAAACCCAGCAUGAGUUAUGUCAUGUUAUCGAUAUGUGAAUACAUAGCAUAUCAGAAGGCACACCCGGAGAACUGAAACAUCUUAGUACCCGGAGGAAGAGAAAGAAAAUUCGAUUCCCUUAGUAGCGGCGAGCGAAACGGGAAGAGCCCAAACCAACAAGCUUGCUUGUUGGGGUUGUAGGACACUCUAUACGGAGUUACAAAGGACGACAUUAGACGAAUCAUCUGGAAAGAUGAAUCAAAGAAGGUAAUAAUCCUGUAGUCGAAAAUGUUGUCUCUCUUGAGUGGAUCCUGAGUACGACGGAGCACGUGAAAUUCCGUCGGAAUCUGGGAGGACCAUCUCCUAAGGCUAAAUACUCUCUAGUGACCGAUAGUGAACCAGUACCGUGAGGGAAAGGUGAAAAGCACCCCGGAAGGGGAGUGAAAUAGAACCUGAAACUGUGUGCUUACAAGUAGUCAGAGCCCGUUAAUGGGUGAUGGCGUGCCUUUUGUAGAAUGAACCGGCGAGUUACGAUUUGAUGCAAGGUUAAGCAGUAAAUGUGGAGCCGUAGCGAAAGCGAGUCUGAAUAGGGCGUUUAGUAUUUGGUCGUAGACCCGAAACCAGGUGAUCUACCCUUGGUCAGGUUGAAGUUCAGGUAACACUGAAUGGAGGACCGAACCGACUUACGUUGAAAAGUGAGCGGAUGAACUGAGGGUAGCGGAGAAAUUUCAAUCGAACCUGGAGAUAGCUGGUUCUCUCCGAAAUAGCUUUAGGGCUAGCCUCAAGUGAUGAUUAUUGGAGGUAGAGCACUGUUUGGACGAGGGGCCCCUCUCGGGUUACCGAAUUCAGACAAACUCCGAAUGCCAAUUAAUUUAACUUGGGAGUCAGAACAUGGGUGAUAAGGUCCGUGUUCGAAAGGGAAACAGCCCAGACCACCAGCUAAGGUCCCAAAAUAUAUGUUAAGUGGAAAAGGAUGUGGCGUUGCCCAGACAACUAGGAUGUUGGCUUAGAAGCAGCCAUCAUUUAAAGAGUGCGUAAUAGCUCACUAGUCGAGUGACACUGCGCCGAAAAUGUACCGGGGCUAAACAUAUUACCGAAGCUGUGGAUUGUCCUUUGGACAAUGGUAGGAGAGCGUUCUAAGGGCGUUGAAGCAUGAUCGUAAGGACAUGUGGAGCGCUUAGAAGUGAGAAUGCCGGUGUGAGUAGCGAAAGACGGGUGAGAAUCCCGUCCACCGAUUGACUAAGGUUUCCAGAGGAAGGCUCGUCCGCUCUGGGUUAGUCGGGUCCUAAGCUGAGGCCGACAGGCGUAGGCGAUGGAUAACAGGUUGAUAUUCCUGUACCACCUAUAAUCGUUUUAAUCGAUGGGGGGACGCAGUAGGAUAGGCGAAGCGUGCGAUUGGAUUGCACGUCUAAGCAGUAAGGCUGAGUAUUAGGCAAAUCCGGUACUCGUUAAGGCUGAGCUGUGAUGGGGAGAAGACAUUGUGUCUUCGAGUCGUUGAUUUCACACUGCCGAGAAAAGCCUCUAGAUAGAAAAUAGGUGCCCGUACCGCAAACCGACACAGGUAGUCAAGAUGAGAAUUCUAAGGUGAGCGAGCGAACUCUCGUUAAGGAACUCGGCAAAAUGACCCCGUAACUUCGGGAGAAGGGGUGCUCUUUAGGGUUAACGCCCAGAAGAGCCGCAGUGAAUAGGCCCAAGCGACUGUUUAUCAAAAACACAGGUCUCUGCUAAACCGUAAGGUGAUGUAUAGGGGCUGACGCCUGCCCGGUGCUGGAAGGUUAAGAGGAGUGGUUAGCUUCUGCGAAGCUACGAAUCGAAGCCCCAGUAAACGGCGGCCGUAACUAUAACGGUCCUAAGGUAGCGAAAUUCCUUGUCGGGUAAGUUCCGACCCGCACGAAAGGCGUAACGAUUUGGGCACUGUCUCAACGAGAGACUCGGUGAAAUCAUAGUACCUGUGAAGAUGCAGGUUACCCGCGACAGGACGGAAAGACCCCGUGGAGCUUUACUGUAGCCUGAUAUUGAAAUUCGGCACAGCUUGUACAGGAUAGGUAGGAGCCUUUGAAACGUGAGCGCUAGCUUACGUGGAGGCGCUGGUGGGAUACUACCCUAGCUGUGUUGGCUUUCUAACCCGCACCACUUAUCGUGGUGGGAGACAGUGUCAGGCGGGCAGUUUGACUGGGGCGGUCGCCUCCUAAAAGGUAACGGAGGCGCUCAAAGGUUCCCUCAGAAUGGUUGGAAAUCAUUCAUAGAGUGUAAAGGCAUAAGGGAGCUUGACUGCGAGACCUACAAGUCGAGCAGGGUCGAAAGACGGACUUAGUGAUCCGGUGGUUCCGCAUGGAAGGGCCAUCGCUCAACGGAUAAAAGCUACCCCGGGGAUAACAGGCUUAUCUCCCCCAAGAGUUCACAUCGACGGGGAGGUUUGGCACCUCGAUGUCGGCUCAUCGCAUCCUGGGGCUGUAGUCGGUCCCAAGGGUUGGGCUGUUCGCCCAUUAAAGCGGUACGCGAGCUGGGUUCAGAACGUCGUGAGACAGUUCGGUCCCUAUCCGUCGUGGGCGUAGGAAAUUUGAGAGGAGCUGUCCUUAGUACGAGAGGACCGGGAUGGACAUACCUCUGGUGUACCAGUUGUCGUGCCAACGGCAUAGCUGGGUAGCUAUGUGUGGACGGGAUAAGUGCUGAAAGCAUCUAAGCAUGAAGCCCCCCUCAAGAUGAGAUUUCCCAACUUCGGUUAUAAGAUCCCUCAAAGAUGAUGAGGUUAAUAGGUUCGAGGUGGAAGCAUGGUGACAUGUGGAGCUGACGAAUACUAAUCGAUCGAAGACUUAAUCAA